RNAcentral lists this ribosomal RNA (1243 nucleotides) under metagenome. RNAcentral describes it as "bacterial LSU rRNA". It matches the Rfam family "Bacterial large subunit ribosomal RNA", at positions 1564 to 2817 of the family's 2925-position model. The record is from RNAcentral.
UGAAUACGAGACGCUAAGGCGUCGAAGUAGUGUAUGUCAUACUUCCAAGAAAAGCUUGCACUGUCAUAGAUAAAAAACGCCUGUACCAUAACCGACACAGGUGGGUAGGUAGAGUAUACUAAGGGGCGCGAGAUAACUCUCUCUAAGGAACUCGGCAAAAUAACUCCGUAACUUCGGGAGAAGGAGUGCCUUAUUCGUAAGGUUGCAAUAACAAGAUCCAAGCAACUGUUUAUCAAAAACACAGGUCUCCGCUAAGUCGUAAGACGAUGUAUGGGGGCUGACGCCUGCCCAGUGCCAGAAGGUUAAAGAAGUUGGUUAGCAAUUGCGAAGCUGAUAACUGAAGCCCUGGUGAACGGCGGCCGUAACAAUAACGGUCCUAAGGUAGCGAAGUUCCUUGUCGGGUAAGUUCCGACCCGCACAAAAGGCGUAAUGAUUUGGAUACUGUCUCGGAGAGGGGCUCGGUGAAAUAGACUUGUCUGUGAAGAUGCGGACUACCUGCACCAGGACAGAAAGACCCUAUGAAGCUUUACUGUAACUUGAAAUUGAAAUUGGACUUUAUUCGCGCAGUAUAGGUGGGAGGCGUUGAUUAUAAUCUUGUGGGAUUAUUGGAGCCAUCAGUGAGAUACCACUCUUGUAAUGUUAGAUUUCUAACUUUGAAUCAUUAUCUGGUCAAAAACAGUUUCAGGCGGGCAGUUUGACUGGGGCGGUCGCCUCCUAAACGGUAACGGAGGCGUACAAAGGUUUCCUCUGAACGGUUAGAAAUCGUAUCUAGAGUGUAAAGGCAUAAGGAAGCUUGACUGUGAGACCUACAAGUCGAGCAGGGACGAAAGUCGGUCUUAGUGAUCUGACGGUACUGAGUGGAAAGGCCGUCACUCAACGGAUAAAAGUUACUCUAAGGAUAACAGGCUGAUCUCCCCCAAGAGUUCACAUCGACGGGGAGGUUUGGCACCUCGAUGUCGGCUCAUCGCAUCCUGGGGCGGUAGUACGUCCCAAGGGUUGGGCUGUUCGCCCAUGAAAGCGGUACGCGAGCUGGGUUCAGAACGUCGUGAGACAGUUCGGUCCAUAUCCGGUGUAGGCGUUAGAAUAUUGAGAGGAGCCUUCUUUAGUACGAGAGGACCGAGAAGGACAUACCUCUGGUGUACCAGUUAUCGUGCCAACGGUAAACGCUGGGUAGCUAUGUAUGGAGUGGAUAACCGCUGAAAGCAUCUAAGUGGGAAGCCCACCUCAAGAUAAGUAUUCUCAC